AGCGUGGCGGCGGUGCGGGCGCUGGGCGUGGGGCAGCGGCGCUGCGGCUGGAAAUGGGGCCGGGGCCGGGGCCGGGGCUCCUGUGCUGUGAGCCGGUUCCCCCCGCCCUUUGCGCAGCAGUGUGCGUGUGGAGAGACCUUUGGAUGUCUGCGAGGAGGGAAGCGGCGUUCCCGAACUCGGGUCCAGGAGAUUCAGCUGUGGAGAAGCUGCAGAGAAGGCUGCCCGGCACAGCUCCCCAAAAUGAGCCUACUCCGACUGAAUUCCCGAAGAGGAGGGGGCACUUGUAGCCUUUUGUGAUUCUUGUGAAAUUCCGGACUGUCUCCACACAGGAAGCACAGGGGACUGGCUGAGGGGCUUAGCCUGGGACACAGCCCCAGCAGGAGCAGCCCUGGGCACACUGACAUGGGAGGAUGAGCCCAGGUGAGGAGCACGGCCCCAGUGUGGCAUCGAGAGAGGCUGGCACGGGACAGUGAGCCCAGGGACAGAGGAGAUGCUGCUGUACCACGUCCCCAGGAGAGCCCCUGCCUCACUUCUACUCUCAGGGGUGGGAUGGGAGACACCUCCACACAGAAAGUGGCACUUGGCAUGGCUUCAGUCCCCAGUGGAAGAGGCUGGGCUCCUGCUGCUCAGAGCUCGUGAUUAGGGACACCCACGCCUGCGCCUGGCUUGGGAUGCAGGGUGCACUAAUUCCAGAUCCAGCCACGAGAUGUUCCUGCUGCAGCUGCAGGUCCCUGAGGUGGAUUCCUUUCUCUGCAGUCACCGAUGCUUUUCCUGGAAUCUACCAUUUGAUGUUGAAGAGCAGCAGCUGGAAGAUGUGUUGAAGCAUCCUCUUCGGUGUAGCAUUUCAAGCAGGGGUUGCAGUCAGCAUGUCAGCUGAGGAGUGUGUGACAGUGGGAGUGCGUGAGUGUCCGUGUGAGCUUGUGUCUGUCUGCUGCUGCUGAUGUCUGCCUGUGCAAGUGUGUGUGCUGACUGCUUCUGGCCUUGUGUCAACGCUGAGUUUGUGUGUAAGCUCAGAGUUGUGGGGGGUGGACAAGUGUUCUGGUUUCUGUGUGCUGCUUCUGGUUUGGGUUUCCUGUGUGAAUAAACAAACUGUAAUUAGCAAUUCAGAAAAACAAACAUGAGUAUAUUGCAUGAAUACAUAUUUGGCUUGCAUUCCCCUGUAUUGUUCUGUAUUUGCAUUUGCUGCUGCAUUUCCAUGUAGUGCUCUGGAUGUAAAUUCACCCUUAACAGUGUGUCCAUAGAUUGUAUUUGUAAUGGAAUUUGUACCUGUACUUGCCUUGUUUUGCUGCGUUUUCCUGAAGUAUAAAUAAAAAAUUCAUUCAAUAAAAUUAAAUCACCCUUAGUUAAGAUACCCCCUUCUUCCCCUUGA
Long non-coding RNA from Catharus ustulatus (Swainson's thrush), 1369 nucleotides. RefSeq lists it as uncharacterized. Lineage: Eukaryota; Metazoa; Chordata; Aves; Passeriformes; Turdidae. The record is from RefSeq and is a predicted model, not a curated record. The transcript has 5 exons.